AGCCCUACGGGGGGCAGCAGUGGGGAAUUUUGGACAAUGGGCGCAAGCCUGAUCCAGCUAUUCCGCGUGUGGGAAGACGGCCUUCGGGUUGUAAACCACUUUUGUAGAGAACGAAAAGUCUGUUGAUAAUACCGAUAGAUGAUGACGGUACUCUAAGAAUAAGCACCGGCUAACUACGUGCCAGCAGCCGCGGUAAUACGUAGGGUGCGAGCGUUAAUCGGAAUUACUGGGCGUAAAGGGUGUGCAGGCGGUUUUUCAAAAUGGAUGUUAAAGCCCCGGGCUUAACCUUGGAAA
Molecule: ribosomal RNA, 294 nt
Filed under: uncultured bacterium
Lineage: Bacteria
Description: partial 16S ribosomal RNA
Rfam family: Bacterial small subunit ribosomal RNA
Source: RNAcentral